AUUUCUGACGAGUCCCAAAUAAGACGAAAUACAUGUCUCGAAU
Molecule: non-coding RNA, 43 nt
Organism: Schistosoma mattheei
Lineage: Eukaryota; Metazoa; Platyhelminthes; Trematoda; Strigeidida; Schistosomatidae
Source: Rfam